GACAGAGGCCACGAACGUUGUUCGGAAUUACUGGGCAUAAAGCGCACGUAGGCGGCUAGGUCCGUCCGAUGUGAAAGCCCCCGGCUCAACCGGGGAAUUGCAUCGGAUACAGCCUGGCUCGAGGACGGUUGGGGUGAGUGGAACUCCUGGUGGAGCGGUGAAAUGCGUAGAUAUCAGGAGGAACGCCGGAGGCGAAAGCGAGUGACUGGCGCGUUCCUGACGCUGAGGUGCGAAAGCUAGGGGAGCAAACAGG
This 253-nucleotide ribosomal RNA is filed under the name uncultured prokaryote. RNAcentral describes it as "partial 16S ribosomal RNA". It matches the Rfam family "Bacterial small subunit ribosomal RNA", at positions 524 to 776 of the family's 1533-position model. The record is from RNAcentral.